AUUUAAAAGAAUGCUGCCCCUGCUCAAAGGCCUGCAGUGAGCCAUGCCAAUGUGGUUUGGCUGGACUGUGAGUGCUUGAUGCAGUCUGAUAGGAGGAUGGGGGUGGCGCAGAGAACAUUGAAAUCAGAAAGGAUUCUGCUCUGUAGAGACAAAGGAAACACAGAGACAUAGACAUGGAUCUGGGAAAUACACCUUUUGCUACUCGUUCAGUUUUAGCAAGGAGGUUUCUUGCAUGGCUAAGCAAAACUUAAACUUCCUCUGAGAAUUACAGGAAUUACAGGACCUGACAAAGCUAUGAAGAUUAAAACCUAUAGGAAGAAAAUCUGAACCAGAAACAGUAUGGCAGAAUUGGGAUCUGACUCACAGAGGGAAGAACUUAUAAUUCUUCACAGGUCACAUAGAAGCAUGAGAAUUUGGGUUCAAGCAAACGCCUAAAUACCUGACGUGUGACAGCAAAUGCCUGUUCCCAUGGAGCUGCUGCUUCUGAGAAAGCUUGAAACAGACAAAGAAUAAGGUAGAAAUGACCUCCUCACUAGAGAUGAAAAGAAGCUGUCCUGGUGAGGAAAUUGGAUCCCAGCUUUUGCCGCUAAGAUUCUUCUCUUCUGCCUCUGGUUUUCUUUAUUGUUCACCCCCAGAAGCAAUCGCUCUCUCACAAGGCAACACACGCAAUAGAGUGAACAGUGAUUCUACAGUCUGAUUCUGGAAAAGGCGACCACAGUGGAAAGAGUGAUCCACACAAGUAUAGGGCCUCCUGAUUAAAACACUAAGAUUUCAUCUCACGCUGUGCCUUUAUACUGUUGAGAUACUAAAGAGGACACUAAAGAUCAAAGUGCUACUUUACAACAUUUUGAAGAAAACAACUGCUACCUGUGUAUUAGUUUGUGCAGAUGUGUUACACAGCUUAGCUGUGUCUGUACCAGUUUAUUAGAAUCAAAGUAUUUUUAAAGUACCUAAGGCCAGGCACAGUGGCUCACACCUGUAAUCCCAGCACUUUGGGAGGCUGAGGCAAGUGGAUCACUUGAGAUCAGGAAUUCAAGACCAGCCUGGCCAACAUGGUGAAACCCCAUCUCUACUAAAAAUACAAAAAUUAGCCAGGCAUGGUGUCACAUGCCUGUAAUCCCAGUGACUCAAGAGGCUGAGGUAUGAGAAUCAAUCGUUUGAACUCAGAAGGAGAGGUUGCAGUGAGUGGAGAUAGCAACACUGUACUCCAGCCUGGGUGACAGAGUGAGAUCCAGUCUCAAAAAAAAAAAAAAAAAAAAAAAAAGUACCUAAAACUUGUGAUAUGGUUUGGCCUUGUCCCCACCCAAAUCUCAUAUUGAAUUGAAUUAUGGGGAGAGGUCUUUCCUGCGCUGUUCUUAUGAUAGUGAAUGAGUUUCAUGAGAUCUGAUGGUUUUAAAAAUGGGAGUUUCCCUGCACAAGCUCUCUUUUGUUGCCUGCUGCCAUCCACGUAAGAUGUGACUUGCUCCUCUUUACCUUCCACCAUGAUUUUGAGGCCUCCCCAGUCCUGUGGAACUGUAAGUUCAAUAAACCUCUUUCUUUUGUAAAUU
Long non-coding RNA from Homo sapiens (human), 1547 nucleotides. Ensembl annotates it as long intergenic non-protein coding RNA 844. The record is from Ensembl. NCBI's taxonomy places the organism in Eukaryota, Metazoa, Chordata, Mammalia, Primates, Hominidae.